UAACUUCAAAUCCUACGAGACUGACAAGAUU
RNAcentral lists this non-coding RNA (31 nucleotides) under Mus musculus (house mouse). The record is from RNAcentral. Lineage: Eukaryota; Metazoa; Chordata; Mammalia; Rodentia; Muridae.